Dicentrarchus labrax (European seabass) is the source of this 3263-nucleotide long non-coding RNA. RefSeq lists it as uncharacterized. The transcript has 2 exons. The record is from RefSeq and is a predicted model, not a curated record. NCBI's taxonomy places the organism in Eukaryota, Metazoa, Chordata, Actinopteri, Moronidae.
GGUGCAUGAUUUAUGAUAGUGAAGUCUCAUUUGUGCUCUCUAUGCAGAGCAGGUGCGCUUUGUUUGCAGCUCUAUACUUCCCUGGACUUGUCACUUGGCAGUUCUAUUCUUUCCCUUAUUUUCCAUUAAGCCGCCACUCCACGUAUGGAAAGCUGUGAGUCACCGAGCCGAUUCAUAUUUCUGUCUCUCCCGGGAAGAACUCUUCAGUUUCAUCUCAAAGUGUGAGUGUAAUCUUAAAUACCACUUUAUUUACUUUAUUGACAUCACUCAAACCUGUGGUUAUCUUGAGAAAUUAAUGUCUAAAAGUGACUAAUUUAUGACAUUUAAAAGCUAAAUACAUGUUUUAGAAACAGCAAUAGUUUAAUUCUCCUUCUGUUUCCAUUUGAAAGCGCGUGUAACAAAACAAAAAACAACAACGAGGAGUCUGAAGCACAAGGUCUGACUGCUACUAUCAAUCAUUCCCAGCCAGAUGUCUUGGGGGAUGGAGCUAUGGGAGGAAUAAGAGGUGUUAUUAUUUGUCUCAGUUUGAAUUUUUGAUACCUAUUUUUUAAAUUGAUCAACAGCAGCUUUAGUAUUUAUAUUUCAAUGGUUGUUUCCUCCUAAAUUACUACUUUUAAGGCUGGCAAUUCGAUAUUUUUGUCAUUGUCAACAAAACCCAUGAAGAAAGCAUAGUUAGCCCUUUUCUCAAUAUUUUCUAAGAUCUAAAUCAUUUUUGGGGACAAUUUUCAGAUACACAGCUCCUGACUCUUGAAUAUUGAGUCAUAAUUCUGCAGAGGUUUACCAGCACUGUGGUAAUUGUUACUAAACAGCGAAUGCCAUCGCAGCACUGCCGUCCAGACACCAGAGGCUGCUCUGAAAUAUUGGGCUGCUUUUUGGAGGUCUAAGCUGCUGUACAUUGCAGGGGGCGUAGGCUCUACCAUGGCAGCACUGCCUCCUAACAGGAACUUAUCAUGUUCAGACAAAGUGCUGCUGACAGGCAGUUCAGGGUUUAGCAGCAGCCUUGCUGUGCCAGGUCUCCCCUGGGGUAUUUCAUCAAUGCCUCCCAUAGAGACACCCAGCGCCACACAGCCGAUCCCAUACUCUAAUGAUGCCACACACUGCUCUCUGAUUGGCUACAAGGAGGCUGAGGUGAGCUUGCCAAGGUCCAAGAUAGAGCAGCGUGGGCGCGGUAUAGGGUUUGGAGGGGGAGGGGGUUGAUGUUGGGAGUGGGCAUAAUUAGACAGUUGGGAGCCAUGGUGAUAAUGGCCAUGCUCAGAGCAAGGGAGCACAGGGAAAGCACUUUAAUUGAGAUAUAAAAGACUUGGUUCCAAGGGCACUUCACGGGAAAAGAGAUGCCAGCUACAAAUGCUUGCUCAGUCAGGAGGAAGCAAACAAAGCAGUAUUCAUCAGAGAUUGUUUGCGUAAGUACAUUUGCCUGCCUUCUUAAAAGGGAUUGUUUCCAGUUGUGCAUGACCACGCUCUCAGAGCCUACGCUGGAUUUGACUGAGAAAGUCAUAAAUGUGUCUGGUGAGUAAGCAUGACAGGUGAACCAAUCAAAAUGAAUAUUAGUGUUUUCUAUCGUAGGUAUGUGUUGAGGUGGCAGAUGGGCUGUGCCUGGGACAGCAGGACAGUGGGUGGGGCACAAAGGAAGAUGCAUGUCGUUCCUAUUCCUUCUCCUACAGCCACACAGCAGCAGUCCAUGACAAUGAGGCAUGACACGAUGGAGGGAACUAGGCAGGUACAUCUACAACUUUGGUUAAUCUGUAAUUCAAAACACAUCCAAAUCAAAUGAUUUGGAAACAAAUAUUUGCUUGUUUAGCCAAAGAUUUUUGCAUUUGUCUUUGGGCUGAGUGAAAAAGAAUCCUUAUUAUGUCCCUAUUUAGCAUUUUGAGCCAGUGUGGAUUUGUUUUUCUGCAUUUGCAUAAAAAUAUUGUCUUGUCCUGCCUGGGCACAAUUUGUGGUAAUCAAAGCCUAAUAUUACUUAAUUCCUGGAAUAAAUGUGUGCAGUCUAAUGUAUUCCAGCUGACUUCAUUUGGAUAUCAAAACACAGCAGACAGAUGCUGCUGAAUAUAGUGUUAGCUGACAGAAAUUUACAUAGAAUGCACAUGUUGCUUGGAUACUAACAUGGAGGUUUGGUACAUUUCCAAGCUAAUAUUACAUGAUCAAAUCUUGUAGGAAUUGUCUGUUUCUUAUUGCACACACACACACACACACACACACACAAACACACACACACAUUCUGAACACCGCUAAAACACAAGCCCUUUUAAACACGCAUUAACACAUGCAAUCACAAGCUCUCUCUUCCUUUCACACACACAUGCACACACACUUAGCUUCACUUUUCUCUGAGUCACUUUGGUUCAGGACUACUGUUGUUCCAUUGAUUGAACAAGGCCAUCAAUAGCUUUCAAAUACAGCUACCUGUCUGAAGAGGAGCUAUGGAGCAUGAACAGCGGCACCUCAAAAGAUUUCCUGCUAAUACUCUCUUUCCCCAGGUACCAAAGGCGCCCUGCUAUUAUUUCCAGCCUUUUGCCUUUGGCGAUUUCUCUCUGUUCUGAGGUGAGAGGGCUUUGUCGCCACACGAACGCAGAGCCACCAAGACACCUCGCAAAGUCAAGGUAGAAAUGUUUCCAUGGUACCCCGCUCAAGGUCAUCUGGACAACAAUAUAAAAUUAGCCCUCCUGGGACUGAACCUCCUCUGACACCUCCACUCACGAGUCCCAUUUUGCCACCAGUGCUCUUUCACAUCACCGUUACCCCCCCCCCCCCACACACACACACACACACAGGAGAACGGGGUUGACUGGAUGGAUUUUUUCUGUGUGCUCCAGUGGGAUCUGGCCGAGCAGAAGAGUUGGCACCUGCAGGGGGAAGAGAAAAGGAGGGGUAGGUGGUGGCUGAGGUGGGCAGAGUAGUCUGAAGCUUGAAGGAGAGUGGAGCAGCUUGGCAGUAGUAGCUGCACGGGUCUCCUAGGUUUGGUCUAAUGGCCCCACUUGGCCCAACCUACUGCUGGUGGUCAGAUGGCCUGCUCCAGUACGAGGCGACGAAGGCCAGGGGCACGUUUUCACAUUCACUUCAGCCUGUCUUUGUCAAAGACUCUCAAUGACUUUCCAAAAAUAGGCAAGUGGGAAUUCAACAGAGGGGGGAGCAGAGUGUGCAAUUGAGGGAAAAAGGGUGAAAUAAAAGCCAGCCUUAAGUGUGGAGGUGCAAGGGAGCAGCAUAUGUUGUUUUAAUGCUCUCAUUACAGACCCCCUUUUCUCUCCCCAGUGCCCUCAGAAGGG